GAUGAACGCUGGCGGCGUGCCUAAUACAUGCAAGUCGAGCGAACAGAUAAGGAGCUUGCUCCUUUGAAGUUAGCGGCGGACGGGUGAGUAACACGUGGGUAACCUACCUAUAAGACUGGGAUAACUUCGGGAAACCGGAGCUAAUACCGGAUAACAUUUAGAACCGCAUGGUUCUAAAGUGAAAGAUGGUUUUGCUAUCACUUAUAGAUGGACCCGCGCCGUAUUAGCUAGUUGGUAAGGUAACGGCUUACCAAGGCGACGAUACGUAGCCGACCUGAGAGGGUGAUCGGCCACACUGGAACUGAGACACGGUCCAGACUCCUACGGGAGGCAGCAGUAGGGAAUCUUCCGCAAUGGGCGAAAGCCUGACGGAGCAACGCCGCGUGAGUGAUGAAGGGUUUCGGCUCGUAAAACUCUGUUAUUAGGGAAGAACAAAUGUGUAAGUAACUGUGCACAUCUUGACGGUACCUAAUCAGAAAGCCACGGCUAACUACGUGCCAGCAGCCGCGGUAAUACGUAGGUGGCAAGCGUUAUCCGGAAUUAUUGGGCGUAAAGCGCGCGUAGGCGGUUUCUUAAGUCUGAUGUGAAAGCCCACGGCUCAACCGUGGAGGGUCAUUGGAAACUGGGAAACUUGAGUGCAGAAGAGGAAAGUGGAAUUCCAUGUGUAGCGGUGAAAUGCGCAGAUAUAUGGAGGAACACCAGUGGCGAAGGCGGCUCUCUGGUCUGUAACUGACGCUGAGGCUCGAAAGCGUGGGGAGCAAACAGGAUUAGAUACCCUGGUAGUCCACGCCGUAAACGAUGAGUGCUAAGUGUUGGAGGGUUUCCGCCCUUCAGUGCUGCAGCAAACGCAUUAAGCACUCCGCCUGGGGAGUACGACCGCAAGGUUGAAACUCAAAGGAAUUGACGGGGGCCCGCACAAGCGGUGGAGCAUGUGGUUUAAUUCGAAGCAACGCGAAGAACCUUACCAGGUCUUGACAUCCUUUGACCACUCUAGAGAUAGAGCUUUCCCUUCGGGGACAAAGUGACAGGUGGUGCAUGGUUGUCGUCAGCUCGUGUCGUGAGAUGUUGGGUUAAGUCCCGCAACGAGCGCAACCCUUAUUGUUAGUUGCCAUCAUUUAGUUGGGCACUCUAGCGAGACUGCCGGUGACAAACCGGAGGAAGGUGGGGAUGACGUCAAAUCAUCAUGCCCCUUAUGACCUGGGCUACACACGUGCUACAAUGGGAAGUACAACGAGUCGCUAGACCGCGAGGUCAUGCAAAUCUCUUAAAGCUUCUCUCAGUUCGGAUUGCAGGCUGCAACUCGCCUGCAUGAAGCCGGAAUCGCUAGUAAUCGCGGAUCAGCACGCCGCGGUGAAUACGUUCCCGGGCCU
Molecule: ribosomal RNA, 1370 nt
Filed under: uncultured bacterium
Lineage: Bacteria
Description: bacterial SSU rRNA
Rfam family: Bacterial small subunit ribosomal RNA
Source: RNAcentral